UGUACAAGACUAAAAGCCAUGCUUCUCCUGU
RNAcentral lists this non-coding RNA (31 nucleotides) under Mus musculus (house mouse). The record is from RNAcentral. Lineage: Eukaryota; Metazoa; Chordata; Mammalia; Rodentia; Muridae.